CCUGACUCCAUUCCGAACUCAGAAGUGAAACGUAUUAGCGCCGAUGGUAGUGUGGGGUUUCCCCAUGUGAGAGUAGGACACUGCCAGGUC
RNAcentral lists this ribosomal RNA (90 nucleotides) under Alteromonas macleodii. The record is from RNAcentral. Lineage: Bacteria; Pseudomonadati; Pseudomonadota; Gammaproteobacteria; Alteromonadales; Alteromonadaceae.